RNAcentral lists this ribosomal RNA (490 nucleotides) under uncultured bacterium. Its description in RNAcentral is "partial 16S ribosomal RNA". It matches the Rfam family "Bacterial small subunit ribosomal RNA", at positions 28 to 507 of the family's 1533-position model. The record is from RNAcentral.
GAUGAACGCUAGCGAUAGGCUUAACACAUGCAAGUCGAGGGGCAGCAUGGUCUUAGCUUGCUAAGACUGAUGGCGACCGGCGCACGGGUGCGUAACGCGUAUGCAACUUGCCUCACAGAGGGGGAUAACCCGUCGAAAGACGGACUAAUACCGCGUACACUCCAUCUUGGGCAUCCAAGGUAGAGGAAAUGAAAUUCGCUGUGAGAUAGGCAUGCGUCCCAUUAGCUAGUUGGUGAGGUAACGGCUCACCAAGGCGACGAUGGGUAGGGGAACUGAGAGGUUGAACCCACACACUGGUACUGAGACACGGACCAGACGCCUACGGGAGGCAGCAGUGAGGAAUAUUGGUCAAUGGGCGAGAGCCUGAACCAGCCAAGUCGCGUGAAGGAUGACUGUCUUAUGGAUUGUAAACUUCUUUUAUACGGGAAUAACAAGAGUCACGUGUGACUCCCUGCAUGUACCGUAUGAAUAAGCAUCGGCUAACUCCGUG